This 274-nucleotide ribosomal RNA is filed under the name uncultured bacterium. Its description in RNAcentral is "partial 16S ribosomal RNA". It matches the Rfam family "Bacterial small subunit ribosomal RNA", at positions 523 to 796 of the family's 1533-position model. The record is from RNAcentral.
AUACGGAGGGUCCAAGCGUUAUCCGGAUUCAUUGGGUUUAAAGGGUCCGCAGGCGGGAAAAUAAGUCAGUGGUGAAAGCCUACAGCUCAACUGUAGAACCGCCAUUGAUACUGUUUUUCUUGAGUAUAGAUGAAGUGGGCGGAAUAUAUCAUGUAGCGGUGAAAUGCGUAGAUAUGAUAUAGAACACCGAUUGCGAAGGCAGCUCACUAAACUAUUUCUGACGCUCAGGGACGAAAGCGUGGGGAGCGAACAGGAUUAGAAACCCGAGUAGUCC